UUCUCAAAUAAACUGGAGGGUCCUGGGCUGGACCAGUCCACAGUGAGGUUGGUAGACAACUGGCUUAGAGACUGCUCCCAGAGAGCUGUAACUGAUUGAAU
Gavialis gangeticus (Gharial) is the source of this 101-nucleotide long non-coding RNA. RefSeq lists it as uncharacterized. The record is from RefSeq and is a predicted model, not a curated record. Lineage: Eukaryota; Metazoa; Chordata; Crocodylia; Gavialidae. The transcript is spliced from 3 exons.